RNAcentral lists this long non-coding RNA (1226 nucleotides) under Salvia miltiorrhiza (redroot sage). RNAcentral's name for it is "long non-coding RNA (SMIL_LNC008801)". The record is from RNAcentral. Lineage: Eukaryota; Viridiplantae; Streptophyta; Magnoliopsida; Lamiales; Lamiaceae.
AGAGAGAGUAUUUCAUUAUUGACUCCAACUAUAAAUAGGUUCAUAUACGAGGAUCAAUCUUUAAUAAUCAUCUUGACAGAAAAAAAAUGAGUUGUAAAGGUUUUGCGUUGUUUCUUUUUGUUGUUGUUGUUGCAACCGCAGCUUUUGCUGAGCAAUCUCAACAUGGUCACCAAGGUAUCACAAUUUGUAGCGCUUAAUUAUAUAUAUGUAGUGAGUGUGAUGUUGAUGUUGUAUGUGUAUAAUUAAUCCUAAAUGUUUUUAUUUACAUGGCAGCGAAAGAAGCCAACCAAGCUGCUGUGUUAGUUCCGAAACGUGGCUCAGUUUCUACUGGCCGUUCAGCAGGACAUGGUGGUCGACCACCACAUGGUGGCGGAGAAGCUAACCAAGCUGAGUUAGCCCCGAGACGUGGCUCAGUUUCUACUAGCCCUUCUAGUGGACAUUCUAGAGUGGUCGACCAGGCACCACAUGGUGGCGGAGAAGCCAACCAAGUGGUUAGCCCCGAGACGUGGCUCAGUUUCUACUGGCACUGGUCCCAGUACUGGACAUUCUAGUGGUGGUCGACGACCAGGACCACCACAUGGUGGAAUGCCAACCCACUGAACACACCAACAACUACUGGAAGGCCAUGCAUAUAUAUAUAUAUUUGGAUCUUCAUCUAUGUGUGUGUUGUUAUAUAUUCGAAAUAAAUAUUAAUGCAUGCUCAAUAAGUGUGGAAUGUGAUGAAGAGGCUAGGCUCUUCAUCUACAAACCACUCUACUUAAUCAGUGUUUAUGUGCAAUCGGAUCUUCCACCUUAUUAUGUGAAAUUGCUAUUUCACUUCACUCGUCUCACUUUGUUACUUACUUCACUAUCAUUCUUAUGGUUACUACAAUUGUGGAAUACUAGUAUAUAAAUAGGCACUGCAGUAGUUGUACAAGUAGAUAAAAUCACAGCAGACUUAACCAACUCCGGAAAUAAUUAUGUCUGCCCCAGCUUCGAAUAGCUACUGCUUUUGUUGUUGUGGAUGGGUUGCUGGCUACGAUUUUGUGGUGGCGCCGCUAAUGGACAGAGAGUAUGCGGCGGAGACCGCGGCAGUCUGAAGACAUCAUGUCUGUUAAUUGGGGAGGGGUGAUUUUACUAGUUCUCCUAUUUCAAUGAUUAACUAGUACACCCCACUCGUGUAAUGCACAGUGAGCAUCAAAAUUGCAUUAUGUUAAAUAAAUAAUAUAAAUAUUAAAUGAAUCAAA